UGGGGACAGUGUUUGUGGGGCAGUGGGUGUAGUGUGUGUAUGGGGGGCAGUGUGUGUAUGGGGACAGUGUGGGGCAGUGUGUGUAUGGGGACAGUGUUUGUGGGGCAGUGUGUGUAUGGGGACAGUGUUUGUGGGGCAGUGUGUGUAUGUGGGGCAGUGUGUGUAUGGGGACAGUGUGUGUAUGGGGACAGUGUGUAUAUGGGGGCAGUGUGUGUAUGGGGACAGUGUGUGUAUGUGGGGCAGUGUGUGUAUUGUGUGCAUGUGGGCAGUGUGUUUAUGGGGACAGUGUUUGUGGGGCAGUGUGUGUAGUGUGUGUGUGGGGGGCAAUGUGUGUAUGGGGACAGUGUGUGUAUGGGGACAAUGUUUGUGGAGAAGUGUGUGUAUGGGGACAGUGUGUGUAUGGGGACAGUGUUUGUGGGGCAGUGUGUGUAUGGGGGGCAGUGUGUGUAUGGGGACAGUGCUUGUGGGGCAGUGUGUGUAGUGUGUGUAUGGGGACAGUGUUUGUGGGGCAGUGUGUGUAGUGUGUGUAUGGGGGGCAGUGUGUGUAUGGGGACAGUGUUUGUGGGGCAGUGGGUGUAGUGUGUGUAUGGGGGGCAGUGUGUGUAUGGGGACAGUGUGGGGCAGUGUGUGUAUGGGGACAGUGUUUGUGGGGCAGUGUGUGUAUGGGGGACAGUGUUUGU
Molecule: non-coding RNA, 680 nt
Organism: Pelobates cultripes (western spadefoot toad)
Lineage: Eukaryota; Metazoa; Chordata; Amphibia; Anura; Pelobatidae
Source: the annotation of a GenBank genome assembly